Molecule: long non-coding RNA, 3078 nt
Filed under: Malus domestica (apple)
Lineage: Eukaryota; Viridiplantae; Streptophyta; Magnoliopsida; Rosales; Rosaceae
Description: long non-coding RNA (MDOM_LNC007847)
Source: RNAcentral
CUCAUCGUCGUCCUCUUCAUCAUCAUCUCUGCGUCUUGCUCGCCCUCAACUCCAUCCUGCUCGCCCUCAUCUGGUAAACUUCGUAUCCGACAUUAUAUUUUUUUUUGCAGAUCGUGAUAUUACUGGGCUUUAUUUGAUUUAGGUGUUUUGAGUUUGAGAAAUUUUGAAUUAUAGACCUCUGCACUUGAACAAAUUAGGUUUUUGAUUUUUAGGGUCAAAUUGAGAUUAGAAUUUGGGGUUUUCACAUUUUAUGCCAUUUUGAGUACCAAAAUGAUGAUAAUCAUCACGAAAUUGCUGCUGUAAACUUCGAACGCCACUGUUACUUUUUGGGUAUGUUUCUGUCCUACUUUUACCCAGUUUGAAUAUGUAUUCAUAGUUGUCGGAUUAAAACGUAUAUGUGGUUUUUGGGAAGUGAUGAGUAAAAUGGCUAGAAUUUUAGGAAGCUUUGCGCUUCUGGUUUUCAUCGGAUAGAGGGAACACGAAGAGGGAGAGGAAAAGAGAAAAUAUUAAGUUUAAUUGUAAAUUUUAAAUUUGUUUUUUAUAGUGUUAGUGGAGGAACCCAUCUGUAGUAUUUUAAGAGAAGAUGAGAAGAUGUAAACUGCUGGACAUCCUUAGCAUUUCCCAUGUUCUUUAUUAAUUUGAGAGUGAUCCUGUGAAUAAUUUUGGCUUUUAGAUUUGUUUGAAUCUUUUUCUGAUUCAACUUGCAGGUUUAGUAUCAUUUUACAGCUUUCUACAACUCUUUGUUCUUUCUCUCUUCCUUUAUGGUUAGACAGCAUCGAAUAUCUAUCAGUAAUCAUGUCCAGACUGACUGCGUUCAUACAACUUGUGCUGUUUAACUAAUGAAUAUAAUUUCGGAACUAAUAUGCCAUGCCUAGAUGAUUGAAGUGAGUAUCUUAGAUGAAUCAUCCAUGAUUGAUGUGAGUAUCUUAGAUGAAUCUAUCCACCUUGGGAACUUGCAAGAGUUGAGUUCAAGAUGUCCGGAUGCUUUUUCGUAUAUAACCAAGGUCUAAAACACAGCCUUAACCUUAUUCUUAAAAGGAGGUUUGUUUUUUGUAUGUCACUAAGUUAACUGCAUAAAUCCAAAUAUCAAGACCAAAACAAAUCAUAGGGUUACAUGAUUUCUUCCAAAUUAAUGCCAACAUAUUGUUCAGCAACGGGGAGAUUCUGGGGCCUUGCUUGACCAGCCACAUUAGAUAAAUCUCAAUACAAUCUAUGCAUGCAUGCUUAGUUGUAACCAGAUUCUUACCAGGCCACUGAUGGCGUAAUUUCAUUUGAAGAUUACAAUAAAUGAUAUAAGAUUUAAGGAAUUCACAAAAGUCAUGUGAAAAUAAAAGGUGCUGGAUUUCCCUUUGAAGGAUAUGAAAUUACUUGAUGUUAGAAUUGAGGUUUUACAGUUAGUCAGAGGUUUACGAUCAGAUCUGUAUAAUGUGUUUUAGCAUCCUUUUGUUGUUUGGCAAGCAAUUCACGUGCGUAGUUUCCGGUGUUUGUUUCAUAUUUAGAAGCUUGUUUUGAGUUCGAUGUCUCUAUUUUUUUUGUCGAAGAGUUCGAUGUCUGUAUAUCAUGUAGAAAAGUGAUUCCUUUUUUCUUUUGGAUGUCUGACCUUGUAAACUUCCGAAUCUAUUUUUCCGUAUUCUUCUUAUUGUUCUUCUAUCCCUAUCUAAAGCUUUAUCCCCAAACUGUUUCUUCAUUUGGACAGACCUAUGUAACUGUUGGUAAUAGAUUUCUGAUUUGUCUUUAGAAUUGCAUCCUAAGUGGUGGUUACAAGUUACGACUUCCCUGAUUGACUUCGUAUGAACAAAGUCAUGCGGAGUUUAACGAUUUUUCGUAUUGUAUAAUGCUUCACGUGGAUGUAUUAGUAUACCGUCAUGCUUUGGUAUCAUUCUCUAGUGUCAUAUUCUAACUAAAAGUAAAUGAUGUGGCCAAUUGCAUACUAGACAUACCUCGGAAUUGCUGGAAUGACCUCCUUGCAGCUUACAGGGGAUGUGGAGGGAGAGUCCAUGUUAGAUACGUUGUUAGUGAUAUGCAUGCAGACUUCAUCCAGACUGAAUGUGACUGCUUAACCUUGGUUGCUUCCACCCUUCCACUUACACUUAGGUCAAUGUGAUUUCUCCCACUUACCAUCGAAUCGAAUUGAAAUUUUAAUGCUUUAUGCAUGGAUACUAGACAAAGGCAUAAACAGUGGCACUGAUGGAUUUGCUAUGCUCUUCACUUGAAAUUGGUGUGCGUGAUCUUCUAGCAAUAACUUAUGAACAAUUGGUAUUUGUGAAUAAUUUUUGAAUUGCAGAUGCUUGUCAUUUACUGAUAGAUAAUCAAAAGAAGGGUGACAUUUGAUAGUCUAUUUCCAAUUUGGAUGUCUAAUUAUCCAUCACGGAACUGUCAAGGGGCACUUGGCUGAUAACUUUCACAGUCCAAAGAUGGUCUGCGCUGAAAUGUCAGCUGCUUAGCCUCUCUCUCCAUCUGCUUCAUUAUGUUGUCCUCUUUGCCUGCAUGUUUAACGUACAAGCAGAGUACAAACAAGGGACUUUUAGAAAAGUUAACCCUUUCUUUAGCACAUUAAGGCCUUGUUUAAUUUGGUGGCAUAUUGGUUUGAUGUCCGUGUGUGUGUGUGUGUCUAUUCUGCACAUUUGUUUGAUGUCCGUGUGUGUGUGUAUUCUGCACAUUUGGUUAAACAGAGGUUUACGGUUAUCUACUUGGUUUAUAACCAUGAUAUUACAUUGUGAAUGUUUUGUACUGUGUGAUGUUGAUGCUGAAAUAUUAUGUGAUUGUUGGUUGCAGAGAAGAGGAGCAUAAACGGAAGGCUAAGGCUAAGGCUACUGGAUUUUGUAAAUUAUGGAGAUCUACUUUGGAAUGCUAUACUAUAGUUCACUGGCAUUUUGUAAAAUAUCCUGGAUGAAAGUUUAGUGAAUGAUGUUUUAAGAGUCAAUGCAAAGAUUGACUUGUCACAAGUAUCUUCUUAUGUACUUGUAUUUGUUGAAGUUGCAUGUAUUGGGCACUAUUCUUUUUCUUAUUUUGGGUGAUAGAGUUUAAAUCAAGUUACAUUUGCAAAUUAAACUCAACUAUUUAUAAAUAGUAUGUCCC